AGAGUUUGAUCCUGGCUCAGAACGAACGCUGGCGGCGUGCCUAACACAUGCAAGUCGAACGAGACCUUCGGGUCUAGUGGCGCACGGGUGCGUAACGCGUGGGAAUCUGCCCUUGGGUACGGAACAACAGUUAGAAAUGACUGCUAAUACCGUAUAAUGACUCCGGUCCAAAGAUUUAUCGCCCAGGGAUGAGCCCGCGUCGGAUUAGCUAGUUGGUGGGGUAAAAGCUCACCAAGGCGACGAUCCGUAGCUGGUCUGAGAGGAUGAUCAGCCACACUGGGACUGAGACACGGCCCAGACUCCUACGGGAGGCAGCAGUGGGGAAUAUUGGACAAUGGGCGCAAGCCUGAUCCAGCAAUGCCGCGUGAGUGAUGAAGGCCUUAGGGUUGUAAAGCUCUUUUACCCGGGAUGAUAAUGACAGUACCGGGAGAAUAAGCCCCGGCUAACUCCGUGCCAGCAGCCGCGGUAAUAC
RNAcentral lists this ribosomal RNA (472 nucleotides) under uncultured bacterium. Its description in RNAcentral is "bacterial SSU rRNA". It matches the Rfam family "Bacterial small subunit ribosomal RNA", at positions 8 to 526 of the family's 1533-position model. The record is from RNAcentral.